Non-coding RNA from Callithrix jacchus (white-tufted-ear marmoset), 7857 nucleotides. The record is from RefSeq and is a predicted model, not a curated record. Lineage: Eukaryota; Metazoa; Chordata; Mammalia; Primates; Cebidae.
AUUGCUCACUAGAGGAAGGGAGAACUCCAUAGAAUUUGCAGUUCCAAGAAAAGAGGUAUUUUGGAAAUGUUCUGUAGGAAAGAAGAGAGAGAUGAAGAAACUGGUGAGAUUGAGAAAAUGUCACCUUAUUUGAAGAACAGCAUUAUCUUAAGGUUGUUGCCAUCGGGAAGCUUCUAAUACCGAUACUCACUGAGAUACCAAAAGCCAAACGCUUUACGGUGGCCAUGAGUGCUGAAGCAGGUUGGCCCUCUUCUGAUGAACUAACUGCCUUUGUAUCCAACAUGGGCACAGAUGUGCAGAAGACCCAAGAGGGCUGGUCUCGAACUCCUGACGUCCAGUGAUCUGCCCUCCUCGGCCUCCCAAAAUACUGGGAUUACGAGGUGAGCCACCGUGCUCGGCCUGCAGCAUCAUUUCUGAAACACAUUUCUCAAAUAUUUAUAUUAAAAACUGUCAAGUGUCAUCUAUGUUCAAAAGGGCAACAGAAAGAAAACAACGGAAUGUGACUUCUGACAAAAUUAUUGCUGUCCGCUGUACCCAUGGGUUAAACAGGACUGGCUACCUCCUUUGCAGAUAUUUGAUUGAUGUAGAAGGCAUGCGGCCAGAUGAUGCAAUUGAAUGUCACAUGGUUUUGAAGACUCAGCACAUUUCAUGCAGCCAGUCCACCCCAUGAAUUAGCCUGUUAAACAAGGACCUAGGUGUAAUCUACGUGGGAUCCAGGGUCACCCAACUCUUCGGCAUUUCCACGCUCAGACCCAAAAUUUGCAAGAAUGAGCCAGAUGACCUGUUGCAGCUAUUAAUGUCAUGUCCCCAAUUUGAAUUAAUUCAGUGUCUCAUUAAACAGUUGAAUGAGAAACAUCCAUCUUUAUAUUUUGGUCUUGCUGUACUUCAUCUAUUCUCCGUUGAUAUGAAAAAAAUUGGCAUUAAGCUACUUCCGGAAAUAAAUAAAGGUGGGAAAGAACGUUUCCACAGAAUCCAAAUGUUUACCAGAGAGGCCAUAUCCCUCCUCCUGGUCCCCGUGGAGAAGAUUAUUCACACAGAAGGUACACUUGGAAUGUGAAGCCAAAUGCCAGUCGAGCAGCUCGGGAGAGAAGAAGGUGGUGUCCUGACAGUUACUCCGGACUCUCCUAUCCAGCCUAUUGGGAAUGGACCCAGUGAUACAAACCUGUCCUGGAAUUCCACCUGGAGACCAGAGCUGGCCUGAAGAUUACAGGACUUGGAGAAUUCUGAAGUUAGUGCCAGACAACAUGUCUGGCUUGGAGAUUGCAAUCCCAGGGAGGUAUCCAUCCCCCGGGAAGUUUCCGUCACUACAAAGGAAUGAAGGAAGAAGUCAAUCUCUGGCUGGUCUCGAACUCCUGACGUCCAGUGAUCUGCCCGCCUCGGCCUCCCAAAGUACUGGGAUUACGAGGUGAGCCACCGUGCUCGGCCUGCAGCAUCAUUUCUGAAACACAUUUCUCAAAUAUUUAUAUUAAAAACUGUCAAGUGUCAUCUAUGUUCAAAAGGGCAACAGAAAGAAAACAACGGAAUGUGACUUCUGGUAAGCUGCUAUUUCUAGGGAUACUCUAUCCCUAGAAUAUUUUAUUGAUCUAAGCGUUUGCUAAAACCUAGUUUAUUGAUCUAAGCGUUUGCUAAAACCAACUUCAUUUUGCCCUAUUCUGAAUAGAUUUCACUCUGUUGCCUUUGUGCUUUUCUUCCAAAAUUUAAAAUACAUCUUUUUCUCUUGAAAUCAUUGUGUAAUUCUCCAGAGCAUAUCCCAAGGGUAAGUGUAGGGGACCCGGUCUUUCUGCUUUCAUUUAAAAUCCCAAAUCCCUUACCAUAGAAUAUCUGCCUCCUUGUCACCCAGUACUCUUCAUUUUCUCUUUCCAUCGAGUUCAGAGAGGAAUCUCCAGAGCGUGAAUAUUACUUUUGUUUGUUUGUUUGUUUGAGACAGGGUCUGGCGUCGUCACACAGGCUGAAGUCCAGUGGUGUGAACAUGGCUCACGGCAGCCUCAACCUGCUGGCCUCAAACAGUCAACUCAUCCUCCCACCUCAGCCUUCUGAGUACCUGGCAUGCCCCACGCCUGGCCAAUUUUUUUUUUUUAUUUGUAGAGAUGGGGUCUUGCAAUGUUGCCCAGACUGGUCGCGAACUCCUGGGCUCAAGCGAUUCUCCCAUCUCGGCCUCCCAAAGCACUGAGAUUACCGGCGGGAGCUACCAUGCCCAGCUGAAUAUUAAAGACAUCACUACACAUCACUAAAUAUAAAAUAGUAAAGUUGAAAUAUUAGUGACGGAGAUGUCCUCCCAAAGUGCUGGGAUUACAGGUGUGAGCCACCGUGCCUGGCUGAAUACGUAAAACAUCCCUAAAUUUAAAAUAGUGAAGUUGAAAUAUUAGUGGAGGGAGACUAUUAUUACACAUGAACCGCCACAGAAUAUGUUGCUGGUUUUCUAUGCCACUUAGGUUUUGUCUCUGUUUCUGUUGAAACAAACACCCUCAAAAAGUGCCUGAUUUCAUUUUCUGUAUGUGUGCCCUUUAAGACUCAGCAUUAGAAAAGAAAGGGGCAAGAAGGAAUAACCAAUCUAUUAUCCUAAUGUAACAGAUGAGGAAACAGAUUUUAUGAGAGAAUAAAAGAGUCCUGUAAAGUCACACAGCUAGUAACUGUCAAAGCCAAAACUGAAAUGAGGUCUCUAGGUUUCUACUUGAAUACGUUCCCUGUUAUUCCAAGCUUUUUGGGACUAUAGUGGUAAAGAAAUCUAAAGUUAGGGGAAAGAAGUCAAAUGAAAAACUGUCAAGAAUGUUGCUGUCUUUACCUGACAUGGUCAGAGAAGAAGAAACAUCAACUGUAGAUUCAAGGGAUGAAGAGACAAUCCUAGUGGAUGUCUGGGUGGCUGACGCCAAGGAGUGCAUGUGUCCGGUAUGAAGGCCACCGGUCACACUGGUCACUGGCCACCUGCGAUGAUACAAAUUUAUAGGCUACCCCAAGAUUCUACUGGGUGGCGAUAGGCUUGGUGAGAGAAUGAUGUCACACACAGCAGGCAGUUUAAAGGUGUGCGAGAGCCAAUAGGGAGGCCAGAUUCUCAGGGAGAUGGGAUUGGCUGGCAGAGGUGGUAGGAAAGCUGAGACAGUACCAAGUGGCUGAGUUCCGGGGAGGUGAAAUCCUGCAAGAUCAUCUUGGUGUUUCUUAUACAUGUUCACUAAUAUCAUUGACUAGUAUUUGUAUUUUAUGUGUCGUAUUUCAUAGUACAUAAUACUGUACAUUUAUGAUUGUAUUGUACAUACACAGUGUCCCUGCAGAGAAAGGAAAGGGCCAUCUAAGCUGAGCAAUUACAGUUGUUCUAAAAGCGUUUCAGUGAAUCUGAUUAAUGAAUUUACUGCUGCUUUUAAGGGCCAAACGAAGAGAUUAAAGAGCCUUCUUUUGUACCUUGGCUGAAGAGCUAACUUCGUUGACUGCCCCUUGUAGGAAAGGAUGUGGUCCAAAGCUCCUGUCUUUUAAUUUCUUCUCCUCGAAUCCUACCUUGCUUGGGCUGGCCCAAGCUGGGCCAGGUUGGACUUGGAUCUGUCUUCUGCGCUUCUUUUUUCCGCUUGAUUUUAGGCAUUGUUUCUGGGCCAAGCCUUGAUCUUGCAUUUUUACACUCGUGGGUAUGACUUCCUGUCAGCUUCCAGAGCAGGGGUCUCCUUUUCAGUGUCGUGACAUUUGGAAAACGGACUCUGCUCAUGAGAAGCAAACAUCAGGGAGGUAGAAGACAGGGCUGACUGCAGACCUUCCCUCUUCUAGCCUUUGUUCACAAUUCUUUUGCCCAUAGUUUGCUACCUCUGACUCCUUGGGCCACACAGACAUCCUGCCAUCCUGCUCUGUUAUACGUGAGAGGCAUUCAGGGUACUUUCUUUCUUGUCACGUAAAAGGAUCCAGUGUGGCGCAGUUACUUACAGCCUCCUCUCCAUUGCAAACAGCCACCGUGGAAUCUUGGGCCUUUAGAAUUCCCUGUGGGCCAUGCUUGGGUGCAAGGGCCAGGCAAAAUGAAGAGUUGAAUUUAGAGGAGAAUAGGAAAUAGGCCAGUUGAGUUACAGGAACAAAGAGAUUUGUGUGGAUUUUUUGGUUUGUGUGAGAAGCAAUGACACACCCUUAUUUUGUAUGAACAGAACAGAUAAUUCAGUAUUUUGUAUAUAGCUAGAUAGUCCAGAAACUUCCAUGACUUUUGUACACCGAAGAAAAUAAUCGUAAUAUAUUUUUCCAUUUUGUUUUAUGUCAUAUUGCCUCAUUUAUGUCAUUCCUAAGUAUGUCUAUGGAAUGUAGACUGCUUUUAUUUUAUUAUUUUUAUUUAUUUAUUUAUUUUUGAGACAGUGUUCCACACUUGUGUCCCAGACUGGAGUGCAGUGGCACGAUCUCGGCUAAUUGAAACCUGCACCUCCUGGGUUCAAGCGAUUCUCCUGCCUCAGCCUCCUGAGUAGCUGGGAUUACAGGUGCCCGCCACCAUGCCUGACUAAAUCUUGUAUUUUUAGUAGAGAUAAGGUUUCACCAUGCUGGCUCCUGACCUCGGGUGAUCUCCCCACCUCAGUCUCCCAAAGUGCUGUGAUUAUAGGCGUGAGCCACCAACCAUGUAGGUUGCUUUUAAAUGCCCUGGUUUUUAUACAUGUUUUUUCCCUGUCAUAUUUUUAAGGAAUACAACAUUGCAAGACAUAGUGCACGUUUUUCUCGUAAUGGUUGUUUGUUUUGAUACAUUAUGAACUAUCUUGGCUUGAUAGGUUUCGUGGAGGAAAUCAAAAGGAGGGUGUGUGUGCAAAAGGCACUGUGGCGAGUUGUGCUGUGUGCUCAAGCAAAGAAAAAGAUGUCUGCGGUCAGCUCAAGUUGACCUGGAUUGCCUUGGUUUUUGUUUUCCUAGUUAUUGCUGUUCUCACUAACUUCUCUAAUAACUGUGAUAAAUGAGUUAGGGCUGAGUUGCUGGUGAUUUGUGUGUGGAAUAAGCUGGUUUGGGGGAGGAAAUCUACGGAUAUAAUAUUUUUCCUUGGUGGUAGGCUAUUAGAGAUACCUGAAUUGAUCUUGUUUUUCUUUUCUUGAGAUGGAGUCUCCCUCUGUCACCCAGGCUGGAGGUCGGUGACGUGGUCUUGGUUCACUGCAACCCCCGCCUCCUGCAUUCAAGCCAUUCUCCUGCCUCAGCCUCCCAAGUAGCCUGGACUACAGGUGUGAGCCACCACAUCUAGCUAAUUUUGGGGCCAAGUUUUGUAUUUUUAGUUGACACAGAUUUUCACUACGUUGGCCAGGCUGGUCUCAAACUCCUAACCUCAAGUGAUCUGCCCACCUUGGCCUCCCAAGGUGCUGGGAUUACAAGCUGGGAUCACUGGGCCCGGCCUGAAUGUUUUAGAAUUUAAUGCCAAAUUUGAAUGUGGACUGGGUGCAGUGGCUCAUACCUGUAAUCCCAGAACUUUGGGAGGCCGGAGCUCUGUGUGGGUGGCUUCCGAGUCUCUUUCGGUCUGGGGUCUUAUCCUGGCACGUAGCGCACUGGACUGGUGCUUUUGGCCGGCUUGGCAUCGGGUGGGCCGCUUCUUGGAACCCACAUGAGCCAAUGGCAGCAUCCCCACAGUGGCUGGGGUCCGGGAUGCAACUUUCCUGGAUGCUCCUCGUCCAAGAAGAAGAGCGGAAACCACAUCCCGGAAAGACAAAAUUAUUGCUGUCCGCUGUACCCAUGGGUUAAACUGGACUGGCUACCUCAUUUGCAGAUAUUUGAUUGAUGUAGAAAGCGUUCGGCCAGAUGAUGCAAUUGAAUGUCACGUGGUUUUGAAGACUCAGCACAUUUCAUGCAGCCAGUCCACCCCAUGAAUUAGCCUGUUAAACAAGGACCUAGGUGUAAUCUACGUGGGAUCCAGGGUCACCCAACUCCUCGGCAUUUCCCCGCUCAGACCCAAAAUUUGCAAGAAUGAGCCAGAUGACCUGUUGCAGCUAUUAAUGUCACGUCCCCAAGUUGAAUUAAUUCAGUGUCUCAUUAAAGAGUUGAAUGAGAAACAACCAUUUUUAUCUUUUGGUCUUGCCGUACUUCUUCUGUUCUCCAUUGAUAUGAAAAAAAUUGACAUUAAGCUACUUCAGGAAAUAAAUAAAGGUGGGAAAGGUAAGUAGAGUAAAAUGUUGUGGAAGAAAUAGUAAUGGGUUAUUUAGGGAAAGGUUUAAGAUGCUUAUGCCUAAGUUAACUCAGAUUUUCCUAAGAGUUCCUUCUUAGCAAGAGUUAACUUUAGGAGUUUAUAAAUGUAAAGAUUGCCAUGUAAAUAAUAGUCUAUUAGCAAUAGGAUAUAUUUUUUGAGAAAAUCAGAAUGAAGAGAGAAUCUUUGUGAAGCCUGAGGGGAAUGUUACAAUAAUUAUGAUCACUAACACUAAAAAGUUUAUAUAUAUUGACAUAUGUAUAUAUUUAGCCAUCUUUUUAUAUGUAUUUUGAAUGUUACAUAAACUAUAUGUUUUAAUUCUUAAACCAAAUGUAUGUGUAUUUACAUAUGAUAUUCACCCUGAACCUAACUCUGCUGUAGAUUGGAGAAUAACUAAUUAGGCUGGAUGCCGUAGCUCACCCUUGUAAUCCCAGCACUUUGGGAGGCUGAGAUGGGUGGAUCACUUGAGCUCAGGAGUUCAAGACUAGCCUGGGCAACAUGAUAAAACUCUGUCUUUAUUUAAAAAAAUGCAAAAGUUAGCUAGGUGUGGUGGUAUGCACCUGUAGUUUCAGCUACUCAAGGGGCUGAGGUGGAAGAAUGCCUGAGCCCAGGGAACUCAAGGCUUCAGUCAGCCGAGAUUGUGCCACUGCGCUUCAACCUGGGUGAGACUCUGCCUCAGAAAACAAAAAAAAGAUAGAGGGAUUGAGAGAGAGAAAGAGAAAGAAUAAUUAAAACUCUUAUUUUCUUUUCAUUAAUAUAGAAAGUUGAACAGACAACUUGAUUUUAAAUUACUGGAAAAUAUAUUUUGGAAAUAACUUUAUAUUUUGAAAUUAUCACUAUAGAUAUCAACUAAAAUAUUUUGAUAGAAAAUUAGUAAUUAUGGUAGAAAUAAAAUUAUAAUGAUGACAGCAUUCUGAAGAGAUCCUUUUUUAUGAAGUACCAUAAGUAAUGCAGGUAAUAGAUAAGAAAUGAGUUCCAUAAAUUGUUAGAUCCCUAAGAGAUUUUAAAAAGUAAACAAUAUGAAAUUUCUUGAACAAACAAAAUGAUUUCAUUUCCUUAAGAAAAAUUUGUGUUAUAGAAGCCCCAUCAUUAAUAGGUCUCCAUCUAGAGACAGGAUGAAGAGUUUGUCAAAGAGUUCCUCAAGUUUUUUGGUCAGCAUCACUAAGGCCUUUAAUUAAGUGUUUGAAAUCAUGAAAACUUGGCAUAUAGGUCCACAGUUAUUUGAUAGUUUCUGGUGGGGCUUUAUAGACUCUGAGAAUAAGGAUGAGCCCACACUCGUCACUUUCUGAGCUUUUGCCUUAUAUCCUUCAGCAUCUGCCACCUUAACAAAAAGGAGAUGAGUGGAGACAUGGAAUGUGAGAAAGUGGUGGAGGGUUGAACUGAGACAUGAAGAGGUUAAUGAUAAGAGAGGAGGAGAAGGAACUAACCCAAGUACUUGCCAUGAGCUAGACUGAGCACUGAACUUUAUAUGGUUGAUCAUAGGGGAAUCAGGUAGUGUUUAACGGUAGCUGAGAUGAAAUUAUGUCUUUUUCUGUUUUUGAAGAAUCAUUAAAGUAUGGAUUAUCAAAUAAGAAUAAGUGCCAUACUAUAAUAUUGUAUUUCCCCCCCGACAGGUGCAGUAGAAAGUCUUAUGAUAAAUGAUUCAUUUUGCUCUAUAGAAAUGUGGCAAGAAGUUGCAAGUAUAUGUUUACAGAAUGGCUUUGACAACUUAUCUAGCAACAUCAUGUUCAUUCUUCGAUCUCAGGCUGCAGUUACA